CAGAAGAGAAAUAAGACUGAGAAGAACAAAAAAGACAGCAGCAACAACACCAUCCAAACCAAAAAAAGGCCAUCAGCAGUAGCAAAAGAGGAUGAAACAACCCUUUGAAGAUCACACCGAGAAGCAGAUCCUGAGAACUGCCCAAAAGACAAAGGAAACAAGCCAAUCAGAGCAGGAAAGCAGCCCCCAAAUUAGAGAUUGAAAUGGUUUUUUUCAUGGAAAUGCAGAACCAUGAAGAACAUAACCUGCAAUUUUUUAUAAUACAAAAUUGCAGGUAUUAUAAAAAAUCCUCUUCUUUCGCUCUUCCCAAAUUAAGUAAAUCAGAAUACCAAGUGAGACUCUUCGCAAUAUUUAUGGUCGACAUAGUAGAGACAUGAAAUGGCAAUAUUUAUGGUCGACAUUCGCAAUAUUUAUGGUCGACAAGCCAUGAUUUCGUCAUCCGCCAUAAGAGAGAAGUCUAGUGGCAAGCAAAAAACAGAUGGUUGUGGGAUUCUUCUUCAUCUCGGCAGAAAGCACAACUAGGAUCAGUUUGUAGGAACUGAAGCCUAUCUCGGGUGCGAAGCUACCCCAUCACAGCCAACCACAUAAUAAAAUUAUAUCUGGGCAUAAACCAAGGCUCCUAGACCACCUUUGCCCAAGAAAUUGGAGUACCUUUAAGCCGCAGGAAGUUAUAAGCAUUAGCUAGGAAAGGAUGGUCUACACUGCUCCAAGUUGUUAGAAAACGUGUUUAUAACUGCUGUUGGUGGAGUCAUAAACAUUGUUUAGUGGUUUGAAAUAUUUCAAACCUGUUCUUAUUUCUUUGUUUUCAGUUAUUUCUUUGUUAUCUAUGAUUUGAUCAUGGCGUAAUCUUAGGACCAUGAUGUUAGUGGGUUGUUAUUAAACAAGCUUUAAAUUGUAAUGCUACAGACGUUAAUUGUAUUCAAUUUUUCAGCUUCAAAAUCGAUUGCUCUCAUUUUCUAUUUUUUCUUAACUACAACAAUACUCUGUUUUUUCUUUCUUUAUUUUAAAACAAUUACAAUUGGUAUCAGAGCUAUCUUCUUAUAAGGACAUGUGUGUGAGUUUGAUAUAUCAUAGAAGCUGAAGCUAGUUUCUCAUCAAUUGCUCCGCUGGUGUUUGAUGCAGACAACUCCCAGAUUUGGACAGUACACAUUGUUGUUACUUAUUUUUGGAUUCUCAUACAAAAAUAAAAAAAUAAUCGGAAGAAAUCCAAAAAACUAAUAGAAGCAAGAAAAGGAGACGUGGUGUUGCAAUUAUGAUUUUUUUUAUAGGGAAAGAAUGAUUCAUCAAAGACCACAUGGAGAGAAAAAACAUUUGUUUUUGCUGGAAGCUUGAAAACAUUUGUAUCCUUUUUUGUUUAUCAUUGUAUCCUACAAAGAUAUAAAGGACUGUUUUUUGAUAAAUUUAUGUUGUCUUGUAUCUUAGGUGUAAGGGAAGCUUUUUAGACCCAAAGACUUGAGGAGAUGAAUAAUAAGGAAGAGUUUCGUGCAAUGUAAAGUAUGGAGAUUCAGAAUUAAGAGCGGAUGAAUGCAAUCUAUUAAUAAGGAAGACAACUGUGGUAAAGCUUUUAUCCAUAAAAAGAAUACCUCUGUGAAAUAACAGUCAUACCUGUGGAAAUGAAGUGUGAUGAAAGUUUAAAGCUGAUGUAUUUUCCUUCUCCAUCAGAGUGAAA
RNAcentral lists this long non-coding RNA (1669 nucleotides) under Populus tremula. Its description in RNAcentral is "long non-coding RNA (PTRE_LNC003183)". The record is from RNAcentral. Lineage: Eukaryota; Viridiplantae; Streptophyta; Magnoliopsida; Malpighiales; Salicaceae.